RNAcentral lists this long non-coding RNA (1051 nucleotides) under Anthonomus grandis grandis. RNAcentral describes it as "uncharacterized LOC126737639". Lineage: Eukaryota; Metazoa; Arthropoda; Insecta; Coleoptera; Curculionidae. The record is from RNAcentral.
UCACACAAAAGCUCACGUUUUGCCUGCCCGUUUCAUCCGUUGCGGUUAUCGAACCGCGGCGUAUUUUCAUUUUGUCGUUUACGGACGGGUCUUUGGUAUAGUACAGUCAGUCAGACGAGGGUCAAAUUGUGUAAUCGUCCUGUGUUUUAUACUCACAAGCAAUAUUUUUAUAGACAAUUACUGUACUUUGCCAUCUGACUAUGGCAGCCUCUACAAGGAUUGAAAAAAUCGAGUAUUUUGAUAGCGAAAGGCUUAUUAAAGAAAUCGAAAAACAAGAAUCAUUAUGGAACAAAAAUAUACCGGAAUACAAUGAUAAAAACCUUAGGGACUAUCUCUGGAAAAAGGUUUGCCAAGCUGUUAUAUCUAAUUGGGAUAUAUUAGAUAAUCAUUCUCAGGAUAAAACAGUGCGAGAUGUACAGCGUAAAUGGAAAAAUUUUAGAGACUGCUUCCGCAAAGAAAUAAACCUUCAAAGGGUUCACCAACGCAAUCCUAGCAUGAAAAAAAGGAGAAAAUAUAUGUUCUAUGAUAACCUUCGAUUUUUAUUACCCCUUAUGGAUGACAAGAAGACACAUCAACAAGAUGACUCGGCGCAUACGUCUGGCGAGGAGGCUGACGAGCAGAUAUUAACAGAGCCAGAAAAUUCAACAAAUUGCAAUGACGUGAACAGUCAACCAGUAAGAUUACAGAAAAUACCGAAAAUUGCCCUACCAGUUCAGAGGGAAAGUGUGCUCGUUCCUUCAUAUCAGCCACAUGAGGCGGACGAUAUUGACGAGGAUAAAUAUUUUUUAUUGUCUUUAGUACCUACCUUUCGGAAAUUAUCGCAGGAGCAAAAGUUUAAUGCCAAAAUGGACAUCUUAAAACUUCUAAAAAAUAUAUCGUGCCCUUCAACUAGCUCCAAUGCUAGCAAUUUUUGUUAUGCGCUCGGACAAGAUAAUAUUCCCAAAAUCGAAAUGGAAAAUAAUGAUCCAUAUUAGGUUUAAAUAGGCUUAUUAUAUUUAAUAGUUGUUUAAACAAAUCAGAAUGUAGUAUAAUAGAACUAAGUUAUUACUUA